RNAcentral lists this transfer RNA (76 nucleotides) under Oscillospiraceae bacterium. RNAcentral describes it as "tRNA-Ala". It matches the Rfam family "tRNA". From Rfam's summary of the family: Transfer RNA (tRNA) molecules are approximately 80 nucleotides in length. Their secondary structure includes four short double-helical elements and three loops (D, anti-codon, and T loops). The record is from RNAcentral. Lineage: Bacteria; Bacillati; Bacillota; Clostridia; Eubacteriales; Oscillospiraceae.
GGGGGUAUAGCUCAGCUGGGAGAGUGCUUGACUGGCAGUCAAGAGGUCAGCGGUUCGAACCCGCUUAUCUCCACCA